UACGUAGGGUGCAAGCGUUAAUCGGAAUUACUGGGCGUAAAGCGUGCGCAGGCGGUUGUGUAAGACAGGUGUGAAAUCCCCGGGCUUAACCUGGGAAUUGCAUUUGUGACUGCACGGCUAGAGUGUGUCAGAGGGGGGUAGAAUUCCACGUGUAGCAGUGAAAUGCGUAGAUAUGCGGAGGAACACCGAUGGCGAAGGCAGCUCGCUGGGACGUUACUGACGCUGAGACGCGAAAGCGUGGGGAGCAAACAGG
This 253-nucleotide ribosomal RNA is filed under the name uncultured bacterium. RNAcentral describes it as "partial 16S ribosomal RNA". It matches the Rfam family "Bacterial small subunit ribosomal RNA", at positions 524 to 776 of the family's 1533-position model. The record is from RNAcentral.